AAAUUGAAGAGUUUGAUCAUGGCUCAGAUUGAACGCUGGCGGCAGGCCUAACACAUGCAAGUCGAGCGGAAACGACACUAACAAUCCUUCGGGUGCGUUAAUGGGCGUCGAGCGGCGGACGGGUGAGUAAUGCCUAGGAAAUUGCCUUGAUGUGGGGGAUAACCAUUGGAAACGAUGGCUAAUACCGCAUGAUGCCUACGGGCCAAAGAGGGGGACCUUCGGGCCUCUCGCGUCAAGAUAUGCCUAGGUGGGAUUAGCUAGUUGGUGAGGUAAUGGCUCACCAAGGCGACGAUCCCUAGCUGGUCUGAGAGGAUGAUCAGCCACACUGGAACUGAGACACGGUCCAGACUCCUACGGGAGGCAGCAGUGGGGAAUAUUGCACAAUGGGCGCAAGCCUGAUGCAGCCAUGCCGCGUGUGGGAAGACGGCCUUCGGGUUGUAAACCGCUUUCGCCUGUGACGAAGCGUGAGUGACGGUAAUGGGUAAAGAAGCACCGGCUAACUACGUGCCAGCAGCCGCGGUGAUACGUAGGGUGCGAGCGUUGUCCGGAUUUAUUGGGCGUAAAGGGCUCGUUGGUGGUUGAUCGCGUCGGAAGUGUAAUCUUGGGGCUUAACCCUGAGCGUGCUUGCGAUACGGGUUGACUUGAGGAAGGUAGGGGAGAAUGGAAUUCCUGGUGGAGCGGUGGAAUGCGCAGAUAUCAGGAGGAACACCAUUGCCGAAGGCGGUUCUCUGGGCCUUUCCUGAC
This 744-nucleotide ribosomal RNA is filed under the name Parabacteroides distasonis. RNAcentral's name for it is "bacterial SSU rRNA". It matches the Rfam family "Bacterial small subunit ribosomal RNA", at positions 1 to 744 of the family's 1533-position model. The record is from RNAcentral. Lineage: Bacteria; Pseudomonadati; Bacteroidota; Bacteroidia; Bacteroidales; Tannerellaceae.